Molecule: ribosomal RNA, 794 nt
Filed under: Escherichia coli
Lineage: Bacteria; Pseudomonadati; Pseudomonadota; Gammaproteobacteria; Enterobacterales; Enterobacteriaceae
Also listed under: 1 other name
Description: partial 23S ribosomal RNA
Rfam family: Bacterial large subunit ribosomal RNA
Source: RNAcentral
GCUGUGAGCUCGAUGAGUAGGGCGGGACACGUGGUAUCCUGUCUGAAUAUGGGGGGACCAUCCUCCAAGGCUAAAUACUCCUGACUGACCGAUAGUGAACCAGUACCGUGAGGGAAAGGCGAAAAGAACCCCGGCGAGGGGAGUGAAAAAGAACCUGAAACCGUGUACGUACAAGCAGUGGGAGCACGCUUCGGCGUGUGACUGCGUACCUUUUGUAUAAUGGGUCAGCGACUUAUAUUCUGUAGCAAGGUUAACCGAAUAGGGGAGCCGAAGGGAAACCGAGUCUUAACUGGGCGUUAAGUUGCAGGGUAUAGACCCGAAACCCGGUGAUCUAGCCAUGGGCAGGUUGAAGGUUGGGUAACACUAACUGGAGGACCGAACCGACUAAUGUUGAAAAAUUAGCGGAUGACUUGUGGCUGGGGGUGAAAGGCCAAUCAAACCGGGAGAUAGCUGGUUCUCCCCGAAAGCUAUUUAGGUAGCGCCUCGUGAAUUCAUCUCCGGGGGUAGAGCACUGUUUCGGCAAGGGGGUCAUCCCGACUUACCAACCCGAUGCAAACUGCGAAUACCGGAGAAUGUUAUCACGGGAGACACACGGCGGGUGCUAACGUCCGUCGUGAAGAGGGAAACAACCCAGACCGCCAGCUAAGGUCCCAAAGUCAUGGUUAAGUGGGAAACGAUGUGGGAAGGCCCAGACAGCCAGGAUGUUGGCUUAGAAGCAGCCAUCAUUUAAAGAAAGCGUAAUAGCUCACUGGUCGAGUCGGCCUGCGCGGAAGAUGUAACGGGGCUAAACCAUG